This is a long non-coding RNA of Oncorhynchus nerka (sockeye salmon), 3453 nucleotides long. RefSeq lists it as uncharacterized. Lineage: Eukaryota; Metazoa; Chordata; Actinopteri; Salmoniformes; Salmonidae. The record is from RefSeq and is a predicted model, not a curated record. The transcript has 2 exons.
UACUGAUCCUAGACAGAGGAGACCUACAGGUAGUGGGUUAGUGUGGGUUACGGAUCCUAGACAGAGGAGACAGGUAGUGGGUUAGUGUGGGUUACGGAUCCUAGACAGAGGAGACAGGUAGUGGGUUACUGAUCCUAGACAGAGGAGCCAUACAGGUAGUGGGUUACUGAUCCUAGACAGAGGAGACAUACAGGUAGUGGGUUACUGAUCCUAGACAGAGGAGACCUACAGGUAGUGGGUUAGUGUGGGUUACUGAUCCUAGACAGAGGAUACAUACAGGUAGUGGGUUAGUGUGGGUUACUGAUCCUAGACAGAGGGGACAUACAGGUAGUGGGUUAGUGUGGGUUACUGAUCCUAGACAGAGGAGACAUACAGGUAGUGGGUUAGUGUGGGUUACUGAUCCUAGACAGAGGAGGUCUACAGGUAGUGGGUUAGUGUGGGUUACUGAUCCUAGACAGAGGGGACAUACAGGUAGUGGGUUAGUGUGGGUUACUGAUCCUAGACAGAGGAGACAUACAGGUAGUGGGUUAGUGUGUGUGUUUGUGGUGCAGUGUGAGUUGACUACAGAAAUUAUCCUAGGUGUCUGUUGCCUGGUCAUAGAUUUGUGUCCUCGCCAACUCUAUUACUGUCAUUGUCAAGCCAAUCAUUUUGCAUCACCAUGAGUGACAAGGAGUUGGCAUUAUGACACAAAUAGACUGGGACUCAGGCUAAGGUCUGCAGCAGUGAGGAAUGUGUGUGAGAAUGUGGAAGAGCAUGUUGUGGAGAGAACAGAACAGUGGAAGACACACUAUAGAUUAUUCAGAAACUAGACACACUCCCCCUUUAUCUGACUAACUAAGAAAUAAGAACAGAGGACAACAUGGUCAACACAACAACAACAACAGACCACUGGGGGAAAUAAGAACAGAGGACAACAUGGUCAAUACAACAACAACAGACCACUGGGGGAAAUAAGAACAGAGGACAACAUGGUCAAUACAACAACAACAGACCACUACAGACCACUGGGGGAAAUAAGAACAGAGGACAACAUGGUCAAUACAACAACAACAACAGACCACUGGGGGGAAUAACAACAGAGGACAACAUGGUCAAUACAACAACAACAGACCACUGGGGGAAAUAAGAACAGAGGACAACAUGGUCAAUACAACAACAACAACAGACCACUGGGGGAAAUAAGAACAGAGGACAACAUGGUCAAUACAACAACAACAGACCACUGGGGGAAAUAAGAACAGAGGACAACAUGGUCAUAACAACAACAACAGACCACUGGGGGAAAUAAGAACAGAGGACAACAUGGUCAUUACAACAACAACAACAGACCACUGUGGGAAAUAAGAACAGAGGACAACAUGGUCAUUACAACAACAACAACAGACCACUGGGGGAAAUAAGAACAGAGGACAACAUGGUCAAUACAACAACAACAGACCACUACAGACCACUGGGGGAAAUAACAACAGAGGACAACAUGGUCAAUACAACAACAGACCACAACAACAGACCACUGGGGGAAAUAAGAACAGAGGACAACAUGGUCAAUACAACAACAACAACAACAGACCACUGGGGGGAAAUAAGAACAGAGGACAACAUGGUCAAUACAACAACAACAGACCACUGGGGGAAAUAAGAACAGAGGACAACAUGAUCAAUACAACAACAACAACAACAGACCACUGGGGGAAAUAAGAACAGAGGACAACAUGGUCAAUACAACAACAACAACAGACCACUGGGGGAAAUAAGAACAGAGGACAACAUGGUAAAUACAACAACAGACCACUGGGGGAAAUAAGAACAGAGGACAACAUGGUCAAUACAACAACAACAACAACAGACCACUGGGGGAAAUAAGAACAGAGGACAACAUGGUCAAUACAACAACAACAACAACAGACCACUGGGGGAAAUAAGAACAGAGGACAACAUGGUCAAUACAACAACAACAACAGACCACUGGGGGAAAUAAGAACAGAGGACAACAUGAUCAAUACAACAACAACAACAACAACAGACCACUGGGGGGAAAUAAGAACAGAGGACAACAUGGUCAAUACAACAACAACAACAGACCACUGGGGGAAAUAAGAACAGAGGACAACAUGGUAAAUACAACAACAGACCACUGGGGGAAAUAAGAACAGAGGACAACAUGGUCAAUGUUGGCGACAUUUACCUGUGUCACGGCCGUCGUUAAACGAAGACAAAGGUGCAGCGUGGUAAUACCUCCUGCUGACCAGCCAAUCACAUCAAAGUGCUCUUUGCUGCCUGGUGAGAGAGAGGCCAUCCCUAUGAUCAAAACCUGGAAAAACAAAUAUACAAAAAGAAAAAGGCCAAUUUUGCUCACUGGGAUCCAUCCAAAUCUCCUUUAGUUGAUCUUGAACAAAUCCUGGGCAUCGAAGGACACCGCUGUGGAGCCCUGGUUGGUGGUGAUCAUAGGGUCAAUGCUGUUUCAUAUUGACGUUGCCACAGGAUCCUGGAUGGUACUUCUUGAAAGAGAAGAAUCAGAGGGGGUUGGUUUGGUUGGAAAUGUCAUUACAUGUUAACAGCUGUAACAUUGUCUGAAUAGUGAUGAAAAUCAAGUGCUGUACAGGACUUACAACACAUUGAGAUGGUACUGAAGCUUUGAGAUGUGAAGAUAUGGCUGUUACUGCAGUGGCCUGGUGGACUGACAGGGUUGGUGGGAUGAGAUGGUACUGAAGCUACGUGACGUGAAGAUAUGGCUGUUACUGCAGUGGCCUGGUGGACUGACAGGGUUGGUGGGAUGAGAUGGUACUGAAGCUACGUGACGUGAAGAUAUGGCUGUUACUGCAGUGGCCUGGUGGACUGACAGGGUUGGUGGGAUGAGAUGGUACUGAAGCUACGCGACGUGAAGAUGUGGCUGUUACUGCAGUGGCCUGGUGGUCUGACAGGGUUGGUGGGAUGAGAUGGUACUGAAGCUACGUGACGUGAAGAUGUGGCUGUUACUGCAGUGGCCUGGUGGACUGACAGGGUUGGUGGGAUGAGAUGGUACUGAAGCUACGCGACGUGAAGAUGUGGCUGUUACUGCAGUGGCCUGGUGGACUGACAGAGUUGGUGGGAUGAGAUGGUACUGAAGCUACGUGACGUGAAGAUAUGGCUGUUACUGCAGUGGCCUGGUGGACUGACAGGGUUGGUGGGAUGAGAUGGUACUGAAGCUACGUGACGUGAAGAUGUGGCUGUUACUGCAGUGGCCUGGUGGACUGACAGGGUUGGUGGGAUGAGAUGGUACUGAAGCUACGCGACGUGAAGAUGUGGCUGUUACUGCAGUGGCCUGGUGGACUGACAGGGUUGGUGGGAUGAGAUGGUACUGAAGCUACGCGACGUGAAGAUAUGGCUGUUACUGCAGUGGCCUGGUGGACUGACAGGGUUGGUGGGAUGAGAUGGAGGAGUCUGGAGGUCAAAACAGGAUGAACAAACAAAACA